Molecule: ribosomal RNA, 308 nt
Filed under: uncultured Parasegetibacter sp.
Lineage: Bacteria; Pseudomonadati; Bacteroidota; Chitinophagia; Chitinophagales; Chitinophagaceae
Description: bacterial SSU rRNA
Rfam family: Bacterial small subunit ribosomal RNA
Source: RNAcentral
UAGUGAGUUUGAUCCUGGCUCAGGAUGAACGCUAGCGGCAGGCUUAAUACAUGCAAGUCGAGGGGUAGCAGGUCUGUAGCAAUACAGAUGCUGACGACCGGCAAACGGGUGCGGAACACGUACAGAACCUUCCUUCGAGUGGGAGAUAGCCCAGGGAAACUUGGAGUAAUAUCCCAUAGGAUCAUAGAGUGGCAUCACUUAGUGAUUAAACGAUUUAUCGCUUGAAGAUGGCUGUGCGGCUGAUUAGGUAGUUGGUGUAGGUAACGGCUCACCAAGCCUUGAUCAGUAACUGGUGUGAGAGCACGACC